CAUAGUUAUGAGUUCCCGAUAGGAUCCACGACAGUGGAGAAGCCUUGUAACCAUAAAAAAUAACGAUGGGGGAAAGACGAUG
Molecule: small RNA, 82 nt
Filed under: Lentilactobacillus curieae
Lineage: Bacteria; Bacillati; Bacillota; Bacilli; Lactobacillales; Lactobacillaceae
Description: Lactobacillus curieae SAM-III sequence
Rfam family: SAM-III riboswitch aptamer (SMK box)
Source: Rfam by way of RNAcentral